Molecule: ribosomal RNA, 158 nt
Filed under: Inocybe castanea
Lineage: Eukaryota; Fungi; Basidiomycota; Agaricomycetes; Agaricales; Inocybaceae
Description: 5.8S ribosomal RNA
Rfam family: 5.8S ribosomal RNA
About the family: 5.8S ribosomal RNA (5.8S rRNA) is a component of the large subunit of the eukaryotic ribosome. It is transcribed by RNA polymerase I as part of the 45S precursor that also contains 18S and 28S rRNA. Functionally, it is thought that 5.8S rRNA may be involved in ribosome translocation.
Source: RNAcentral
CAACUUUCAGCAACGGAUCUCUUGGCUCUCGCAUCGAUGAAGRACGCAGCGAAAUGCGAUAAGUAAUGUGAAUUGCAGAAUUCAGUGAAUCAUCGAAUCUUUGAACGCAUCUUGCGCUCCUUGGUAUUCUGAGGAGCAUGCCUGUUUGAGUGUCAUAA